This 400-nucleotide ribosomal RNA is filed under the name uncultured bacterium. RNAcentral's name for it is "bacterial SSU rRNA". It matches the Rfam family "Bacterial small subunit ribosomal RNA", at positions 355 to 752 of the family's 1533-position model. The record is from RNAcentral.
UGAGGAAUAUUGGUCAAUGGACGAGAGUCUGAACCAGCCAAGUAGCGUGCAGGAUGACGGCCCUAUGGGUUGUAAACUGCUUUUAUAGGGGGAUAAAGUGUGCCACGUGUGGCAUAUUGCAGGUACCCUAUGAAUAAGGACCGGCUAAUUCCGUGCCAGCAGCCGCGGUAAUACGGAAGGUCCGGGCGUUAUCCGGAUUUAUUGGGUUUAAAGGGAGCGUAGGCCGUCUUAUAAGCGUGUUGUGAAAUGUCGGGGCUCAACCUGGGCAUUGCAGCGCGAACUGUGAGACUUGAGUGCGCAGGAAGUAGGCGGAAUUCGUCGUGUAGCGGUGAAAUGCUUAGAUAUGACGAAGAACUCCGAUUGCGAAGGCAGCCUGCUGUAGCGCAACUGACGCUGAAGC